GACGAACGCUGGCGGCGUGCCUAAUACAUGCAAGUUGAGCGAUGAAGAUUGGUGCUUGCACCAAUUUGAAGAGCAGCGAACGGGUGAGUAACGCGUGGGGAAUCUGCCUUUGAGCGGGGGACAACAUUUGGAAACGAAUGCUAAUACCGCAUAACAACUUUAAACAUAAGUUUUAAGUGUGAAAGAUGCAAUUGCAUCACUCAAAGAUGAUCCCGCGUUGUAUUAGCUAGUUGGUGAGGUAAAGGCUCACCAAGGCGAUGAUACAUAGCCGACCUGAUAGGGUGAUCGGCCACAUUGAGACUGUGACACGGCCCAAACUCCUACGGGAGGCAGCAGUAGGGAAUCUUCGGCAAUGGACGAAAGUCUGACCGAGCAACGCCGCGUGAGUGAAGAAGGUUUUCGGAUCGUAAAACUCUGUUGGUAGAGAAGAACGUUGGUGAGAGUGGAAAGCUCAUCAAGUGACGGUAACUACCCAGAAAGGGACGGCUAACUACGUG
This 497-nucleotide ribosomal RNA is filed under the name uncultured bacterium. Its description in RNAcentral is "partial 16S ribosomal RNA". It matches the Rfam family "Bacterial small subunit ribosomal RNA", at positions 28 to 507 of the family's 1533-position model. The record is from RNAcentral.